RNAcentral lists this ribosomal RNA (603 nucleotides) under Gammaproteobacteria bacterium. RNAcentral describes it as "bacterial SSU rRNA". It matches the Rfam family "Bacterial small subunit ribosomal RNA", at positions 1 to 595 of the family's 1533-position model. The record is from RNAcentral. Lineage: Bacteria; Pseudomonadati; Pseudomonadota; Gammaproteobacteria.
GAACUGAAGAGUUUGAUCAUGGCUCAGAUUGAACGCUGGCGGUAUGCUUAACACAUGCAAGUCGAACGGUAGCGCGGAGAGCUUGCUCUCUGGCGACGAGUGGCGGACGGGUGAGUAACGCGUGGGAAUCUACCUAUUAGUGGGGGAUAACUUGGGGAAACUCAAGCUAAUACCGCAUACGGUCUACGGACUAAAGCAGGGGAUCUUCGGACCUUGUGCUAAUAGAUGAGCCCGCGUUAGAUUAGCUAGUUGGUAGGGUAAAGGCCUACCAAGGCGACGAUCUAUAGCUGGUCUGAGAGGACGAUCAGCCACACUGGGACUGAGACACGGCCCAGACUCCUACGGGAGGCAGCAGUGGGGAAUAUUGGACAAUGGGCGCAAGCCUGAUCCAGCAAUACCGCGUGUGUGAAGAAGGCCUGCGGGUUGUAAAGCACUUUCAAUUGUGAAGAAAAGUAGAUGGUUAAUACCCAUUUACCUUGACGUUAACUUUAGAAGAAGCACCGGCUAACUCCGUGCCAGCAGCCGCGGUAAUACGGAGGGUGCGAGCGUUAAUCGGAAUUACUGGGCGUAAAGCGUGCGUAGGCGGAUUGUUAAGUCAGAUGU